CCCUUAGAUGUUCUGGGCUGCACGCGCGCUACACUGAUGCGCUCAACGAGUUUAUGACCUUGCCCGGAAGGGUUGGGUAAUCUUCUUAAAACGCAUCGUGAUGGGGAUAGAUUAUUGCAAUUAUUAAUCUUCAACGAGGAAUUCCUAGUAAGCGCAAGUCAACAGCUUGCGUUGAUUACGUCCCUGCCCUUUGUACACACCGCCCGUCGCUACUACUGAUUGGAUGUUUAAGCGAGGUUCUCGAACUGCUAGCGACUUAGCUUCGGUGAGGUCGCAGUGUGGGAAGUGAACCUAGCUUUGGUGUCUAGAGGAAGUAAAAGUCGUAACA
This 328-nucleotide ribosomal RNA is filed under the name uncultured eukaryote. Its description in RNAcentral is "partial 18S ribosomal RNA". It matches the Rfam family "Eukaryotic small subunit ribosomal RNA", at positions 1470 to 1796 of the family's 1831-position model. The record is from RNAcentral.